RNAcentral lists this transfer RNA (74 nucleotides) under bacterium. RNAcentral's name for it is "tRNA-Val". It matches the Rfam family "tRNA". Rfam says of the family: Transfer RNA (tRNA) molecules are approximately 80 nucleotides in length. Their secondary structure includes four short double-helical elements and three loops (D, anti-codon, and T loops). The record is from RNAcentral.
GGGCGGCUAGCUCAGUUGGUUAGAGCGACUGCUUUACACGCAGUAGGUCGUAGGUUCGACUCCUACGUCGCCCA